AGUCUAACUUGCCACUCUGUGAACUUCACUACUGGAAAGCAACAAAGGCAGUUGGCAUAAAAAUGCGUUCUCUCAGCACAGCUAACGUUGAAUUUUGCCUUGAUGUGUUCAAAGAGCUGAACAGUAACAACAUAGGAGAUAACAUCUUCUUUUCCUCGCUGAGUCUGCUUUAUGCUCUAAGCAUGGUCCUCCUUGGUGCCAGGGGAGAGACUGCAGAGCAAUUGGAGAAGGUGCUUCAUUUUAGUCAUACUGUAGACUCAUUAAAACCAGGGUUCAAGGACUCACCUAAGUGCAGCCAAGCUGGAAGAAUUCAUUCCGAGUUUGGUGUCUUAUUCUCUCAAAUCAACCAGCCAGACUCUAACUGUACCCUCAGCAUUGCCAACAGGCUCUACGGGACAAAGACGAUGGCAUUUCAUCAGCAAUAUUUAAGCUGUUCUGAGAAAUGGUAUCAAGCCAGGUUGCAAACUGUGGAUUUUGAACAGUCUACAGAAGAAACGAGGAAAACGAUUAAUGCUUGGGUUGAAAAUAAAACUAAUGGAAAAGUGGCAAAUCUCUUUGGAAAGGGCACAAUUGACCCUUCAUCUAUAAUGGUCCUAGUGAAUGCCAUAUAUUUCAAAGGACAAUGGCAAAAUAAAUUUCAAGAAAGAGAGACAGUUAAAAGUCCUUUUCAGCUAAGUGAGGUAAGUAUUUUAUUUUCAGACUCAUGACAAAUGUUGGAGAAUACAAUAAUCAUUUAAGGACAAUUUAGAAAGAUUUAGUGAUUUAGUGAAAAUAUUGGUCUAGGUUUCUGUUGGUUCUUUUUAUUGUAUUUUCUACAGAUUUUCAUUUUUCCUUUAUUAAAUGACAAUAACUUUUAUCACAGAGCAUCUAACUGGAGACUUGGGAUACUAAGAUUCUCUGGCAGAGAAGAAAACCCAUUCUUUUAUUAAUGUUCUCUUGGCUUAUUCUUUCCAUAUAUACUGUGGUUAUGUUCUCCAGCAGCACACUAAGGCUAUCUGUGUUAUUUUUUUUUUCUAGAGAGUUUCUUGAGGAAAGAUUAAAAAGAAAAUGAUUUAAUGAUAUAUCCUUUUUUUUCCCACCAAAAUCAUGUUAGCUAAAAAUCCUGACUUUGUUUUUGGUAGACCAAGCUAUCUCUAUAUAUUAUUAGA
Molecule: small RNA, 1148 nt
Filed under: Pan troglodytes (chimpanzee)
Lineage: Eukaryota; Metazoa; Chordata; Mammalia; Primates; Hominidae
Description: retained intron
Source: RNAcentral